RNAcentral lists this ribosomal RNA (497 nucleotides) under uncultured bacterium. Its description in RNAcentral is "partial 16S ribosomal RNA". It matches the Rfam family "Bacterial small subunit ribosomal RNA", at positions 28 to 507 of the family's 1533-position model. The record is from RNAcentral.
GAUGAACGCUGGCGGCGUGCCUAAUACAUGCAAGUCGAGCGAACAGACGAGGAGCUUGCUCCUCUGACGUUAGCGGCGGACGGGUGAGUAACACGUGGAUAACCUACCUAUAAGACUGGGAUAACUUCGGGAAACCGGAGCUAAUACCGGAUAAUAUAUUGAACCGCAUGGUUCAAUAGUGAAAUACGGUUUUGCUGUCACUUAUAGAUGGAUCCGCGCCGCAUUAGCUAGUUGGUAAGGUAACGGCUUACCAAGGCAACGAUGCGUAGCCGACCUGAGAGGGUGAUCGGCCACACUGGAACUGAGACACGGUCCAGACUCCUACGGGAGGCAGCAGUAUGGAAUCUUCCGCAAUGGGCGAAAGCUUGACGGAGCAACGCCGCGUGAGUGAUGAAGGUCUUCGGAUCGUAAAACUCUGUUAUUAGGGAAGAACAAAUGUGUAAGUAACUAUGCACGUCUUGACGGUACCUAAUCAGAAAGCCACGGCUAACUACGUG